UCAUCGGUACCUUGGAGCUGAUGGCGUC
This 28-nucleotide non-coding RNA is filed under the name Homo sapiens (human). The record is from RNAcentral. Lineage: Eukaryota; Metazoa; Chordata; Mammalia; Primates; Hominidae.